This 403-nucleotide long non-coding RNA is filed under the name Chlamydomonas reinhardtii. RNAcentral describes it as "long non-coding RNA (CREI_LNC001360)". The record is from RNAcentral. Lineage: Eukaryota; Viridiplantae; Chlorophyta; Chlorophyceae; Chlamydomonadales; Chlamydomonadaceae.
UCAAAGUUACUCGACAGGCGUCUAAGCGAACAGAAUCAGGAACACCACCAGCAGCGAGAACAGCGCAAUGGACUCGGUCAGGGCGAAGCCCAGCAGAGCGUAGCCGACCAGCUGCUUGGCAAUGUUGGGGUUGCGGGCAGCGCCGUUGAUGAGCGAGCCGAACAUCACGCCCAGACCUGCGUGCGUGCAUGCGACACACAGUAGUGAGCGUACACGUGAUACCGGUCCAGCUACAGGUAGCCCGAGCCACUCCGUGCGUCGCGGUGUGGGAAUGGCGUGCCGGUUGGGACAGGAGCCCACGCAGCGUGAACAGGCUAUCUGUGGCUGUGAACCCUAAACCGAAGCUGCGGUAGCUGCAUUUGUGUGGCGAACCCCGACAUCCUGUGUCUAACCCCAACCUACC